UUAGGAAUCUUCCACAAUGGGCGAAAGCCUGAUGGAGCGACGCCGCGUGAGGGAUGGAGGCCUUAGGGUUGUAAACCUCUAAAAGAGGGACGAUAAUGACGGUACCUCUUGAAUAGCACCGGCUAACUCCGUGCCAGCAGCCGCGGUAAUACGGAGGGUGCAAGCGUUAUCCGGAAUCACUGGGCGUAAAGGGCGCGUAGGCGGUCUGUUAAGUCCGAUGUUAAAUCCCGGGGCUCAACCCCGGAUAAGCGUUGGAUACUGGCAGGCUAGACGGUUGGAGAGGCGAGUGGAAUUAACAGUGUAGCGUUGGAAUGCGUAGAUACUGGUAGGAACACACAUUGCGAAGGCAGCUCGCUGGACAACACGUGCCGCUGAGGCGCGAAAGUGUGGGGAGCAAACC
Molecule: ribosomal RNA, 400 nt
Filed under: uncultured bacterium
Lineage: Bacteria
Description: bacterial SSU rRNA
Rfam family: Bacterial small subunit ribosomal RNA
Source: RNAcentral